Molecule: transfer RNA, 83 nt
Filed under: Gammaproteobacteria bacterium
Lineage: Bacteria; Pseudomonadati; Pseudomonadota; Gammaproteobacteria
Also listed under: 1 other name
Description: tRNA-Ser
Rfam family: tRNA
About the family: Transfer RNA (tRNA) molecules are approximately 80 nucleotides in length. Their secondary structure includes four short double-helical elements and three loops (D, anti-codon, and T loops).
Source: RNAcentral
GGAGGCGUAGUCUAAUUGGUAAGGCACCGCACUCGAAAUGCGGCGGGCGAAAGCCCUUGGGGGUUCGAGUCCCCCCGCCUCCG